AAUAGAUACCCAGGUAGUCCACGCCGUAAACGUUGGAUACUAGGUGUGGCGUCCCGAUCAACGGAUGCCGUGCCGAAGCUAACGCAUUAAGUAUCCCGCCUGGGGAGUACGGCCGCAAGGCUAAAACUCAAAGGAAUUGACGGGUCCCCGCACAAGCGGCGGAGCAUGCGGCUUAAUUCGAUGCAACCCGAAGAACCUUACCUGGGUUUGAAAUCAUGGGAGAAGCUGUAGAAAUACAGUGUCCGUAAGGGCCCAUGACAGGUGGUGCAUGGCUGUCGUCAGCUCGUGUCGUGAGAUGUUGGGUUAAGUCCCGCAACGAGCGCAACCCUUGUCCUAUGUUGCCAGCGGUUCGGCCGGGGACUCAUAGGAGACUGCCGGGGAUAACUCGGAGGAAGGUGAGGACGACGUCAAGUCAUCAUGCCCCUUAUAUCCAGGGCUGCACGCAUGCUACAAUGGUCGGUACAACGGGCAGCGACCCCGCGAGGGUGAGCGAAUCCCACAAAGCCGGCCUCAGUUCGGAUUGGAGUCUGCAAC
RNAcentral lists this ribosomal RNA (534 nucleotides) under uncultured bacterium. RNAcentral's name for it is "bacterial SSU rRNA". It matches the Rfam family "Bacterial small subunit ribosomal RNA", at positions 777 to 1311 of the family's 1533-position model. The record is from RNAcentral.